GUGGAGGUAAAGAGGUAUGGGACUGUAGGUGGAGGUAAAGAGGUAUGCGACUGGAGGUGGAGGUAUGGGACUGUAGGUGGAGGUAUAGAGGUAUGGGACUGUAGGCGGAGGUAAAGAGGUAUGGGACUGUAGGUGGAGGUAAAGAGGUAUGUGACUGUAGGUGGAGGUAUAGAGGUAAGUGACUGUAGGAGGAGGUAUGGGACUGUAGGUGGAGGUAAAGAGGUAGGGGACUGUAGUUGGAGGUAUAGAGGUAAGUGACUGUAGGAGGAGGUAUGGGACUGUAGGUGGAGGUAAAGAGGUAGGGGACUGUAGUUGGAGG
This is a long non-coding RNA of Oncorhynchus tshawytscha (Chinook salmon), 319 nucleotides long. NCBI's taxonomy places the organism in Eukaryota, Metazoa, Chordata, Actinopteri, Salmoniformes, Salmonidae. The record is from Ensembl.